UAGGGAAUCUUCCGCAAUGGGCGAAAGCCUGACGGAGCAACGCCGCGUGAGUGAUGAAGGUCUUCGGAUCGUAAAACUCUGUUAUUAGGGAAGAACAAAUGUGUAAGUAACUAUGCACGUCUUGACGGUACCUAAUCAGAAAGCCACGGCUAACUACGUGCCAGCAGCCGCGGUAAUACGUAGGUGGCAAGCGUUAUCCGGAAUUAUUGGGCGUAAAGCGCGCGUAGGCGGUUUUUUAAGUCUGAUGUGAAAGCCCACGGCUCAACCGUGGAGGGUCAUUGGAAACUGGAAAACUUGAGUGCAGAAGAGGAAAGUGGAAUUCCAUGUGUAGCGGUGAAAUGCGCAGGGAUAUGGAGGAACACCAGUGGCGAAGGCGACUUUCUGGUCUGUAACUGACGCUGAUGUGCGAAAGCGAGGGGAUCAAACAGG
Molecule: ribosomal RNA, 429 nt
Filed under: Actinomycetes bacterium
Lineage: Bacteria; Bacillati; Actinomycetota; Actinomycetes
Description: Actinobacteria bacterium partial 16S ribosomal RNA
Rfam family: Bacterial small subunit ribosomal RNA
Source: RNAcentral